UCCAGGAAAAGGAACGCUCCUUCGAGCUUUAAAACCCCAACUGCUGCUCCGAACUAUAAUACUCCAACCGCAGCUUCAGAAAAAUUCAACACAAGAUCAAAUGUUAUUCGAGGAGGAAAAGGAUCUUUGAAAGAUUCUAAAGACAUUGGGUAUAAAUCAUCAGGGAAAGGUGGUGGUAAACUUGGAAACUCCUUUUCCAAAUCUGACAAACGCGUGAAGCCUCAAUUAGCUCGUGCUGUGGAGGUCACAAAUAGUGAUGAUGAUUAUGAUUCUUCGCCAGAAAGAAAUGUCACUGAGCUUCCUGAGAAGGUCCCAUCCUCUCUUUUUUUUCCUCCUAUCGGCACUUUCUCCGGUAUAUAGGAUUGAGAACAUAACCUUCUCUACAUCUUCUCUCAGAUUUCUGAAUUACCCAAGCCUCAGUCUGGCUCGCGUACCCUCAGUCAAUUAGAACAAGAGAAUAAUGAGUUAAGAGACAGGUUUGUUACCAUCUUACGUACCAUGUUAAUUUGCCUAUAAGAUUCGUGUUUCUUGUUUGUGUGAACACUGAAAGCUGUGCUUUUUGUUUCUCAGGCUCAAUAAAAAAGAAGAAGUCUUCCUGUUACUGCAAAAGGACCUGCGACGUGAGAAAGAGCUUCGCAAGACACUUGAAGCUGAGGUAACUUCUACUUUCGGACAUUUACUGUGUCUGCCUGAAAACCUGUAACAUCACUCACCUAUGGAUCCUCCUGUCAUUGCAGGUUCAAACAUUAAAGUACAAGUUAGAAGAAAUGGAUAAAGAGCAAGCGAGUUUAAUCGAUGUUUUCGCAGAGGAUAGAGACAGACGUGACAAGGAGGAAGAAAAUCUCAGAAUUAAGCUAGAGGUUCUCAUCCGUUCAAACCUCAUUUCUCUAAAUAGUCUCUUAGAUUCAAGAAAUAGAAUGACUUGACUCUGUGAUUGCAGGAGGCGUCAAACACAAUCCAAAAGUUGCUGGAUGGAAAAGCUCGAGGCAGAUAAGUCGUUCAUCGCAGACGUUAGAGGUGCAUUGAUGAUAGUAUUGAGAGGCAUCUUACAUAAUUGACUGAUUAGGUUGAUUGCUUUAACAUCAACGUUUUGUAGUGGUGUGUGGUCUCGGAC
RNAcentral lists this long non-coding RNA (1114 nucleotides) under Arabidopsis lyrata. RNAcentral's name for it is "long non-coding RNA (ALYR_LNC000597)". The record is from RNAcentral. Lineage: Eukaryota; Viridiplantae; Streptophyta; Magnoliopsida; Brassicales; Brassicaceae.